RNAcentral lists this long non-coding RNA (200 nucleotides) under Ananas comosus (pineapple). Its description in RNAcentral is "long non-coding RNA (ACOM_LNC012215)". Lineage: Eukaryota; Viridiplantae; Streptophyta; Magnoliopsida; Poales; Bromeliaceae. The record is from RNAcentral.
CAGUUCUUUAAUUUUUUAAUAUUUUAAAAUAUUUAAACUAUUUUUAAAAUAAAAAAUAAAUGAUUUUCUUUCGGUUAAAAUAUUAAAUAAAAAAAUAAAUUUAUUAAAAUAUUUAUAAAUUAAUAAAUUUUUAAAAUAAUUUUAAAUUUUUAUAAAGCUUUGAAAUUUUUUAAAAAAUCUCUUUUUUGAAGAGUUCUGUA